RNAcentral lists this ribosomal RNA (380 nucleotides) under uncultured Verrucomicrobiota bacterium. RNAcentral's name for it is "bacterial SSU rRNA". It matches the Rfam family "Bacterial small subunit ribosomal RNA", at positions 143 to 510 of the family's 1533-position model. Lineage: Bacteria; Pseudomonadati; Verrucomicrobiota. The record is from RNAcentral.
AUAGCUCGCCGAAAGGCGAAUUAAUACCGCAUGUGAUCAGAAAGGACAUCCUUUCGAAAUUAAAGGCGGGGCAACCUGACGCUUCUUGUGGGGCCCGCGGCCUAUCARCUAGUUGGUGAGGKAACGGCCCACCAAGGCUUUGACGGGUAGCUGGUCUGAGAGGACGACCAGCCACACUGGGACUGASACACGGCCCAGACACCUACGGGUGGCAGCAGUCGAGAAUUUUUGACAAUGGGGGAAACCCUGAWCGANCGACNCCGCGUGGAGGAUGAAGGUCUUCGGAUUGUAAACUCCUGUCAUUGGGGAACAAGGUGCAUACGUUAACUGCGUGUGCAUWGACAGUACCCGAAGAGGAAGAGACGGUUAACCCUGUGCCA